Molecule: ribosomal RNA, 321 nt
Filed under: Triticum aestivum (bread wheat)
Lineage: Eukaryota; Viridiplantae; Streptophyta; Magnoliopsida; Poales; Poaceae
Description: partial small subunit ribosomal RNA
Source: RNAcentral
AUGGUAGCUUUAAGUUUCAACUCUGAAACCUUGUAUGAUGACGACCGGCAAAAUCGUAAGUUUCAGAAACUAAAACUUAAAGCUUACAGUGCCUUCAUGCGGGAUCCAACAACUUUGCUGAUUGUGAUGCAAUCGGGCAGCUGGAAUGGCUGGGCUGGUGCGAGCUUCCGCAGCUUGGUGCCCGUGCGAAUCUUCCUUUUUUUGUGGGGAGAAAUAGCUUGCGCUGUGUCAAACCAAAGGAGACAGUCUAGGAUGCCCAGAAGAUAUUUAGAUAUUUAUGAAUCGAAUAGAGGUAAAUACACUGAUGAUCACUGUAUUUGA